RNAcentral lists this ribosomal RNA (64 nucleotides) under Globularia alypum. RNAcentral describes it as "partial 28S ribosomal RNA". Lineage: Eukaryota; Viridiplantae; Streptophyta; Magnoliopsida; Lamiales; Plantaginaceae. The record is from RNAcentral.
UUCGACCGCGACCCCAGGUCAGGCGGGACUACCCGCUGAGUUUAAGCUUAACAUAAGCCGGGAA